UGUAAAUUUGGUUCUGGUUUCCUUGCUUGGGUACAGCUUGGUAAGAACACAUGGUAGUUAACGCGCAGAAUGCGUAUAUCGGCUUCCGCAAAAAGUCGGCGACAGUUGCCGGAACGAGGGGAUUCACGGUAGAUAAUCAGGAAAAAUCCGAGGACUGUUAAUAGUUAAUUCAUAACUCCAGUGGAAAGAUCUUGGCAAUGUGCGACAGCUUGACCGGGAUAUAGUUUUUAGGGGAGACAAACCAGGUGCCAGCAGUCGCGGUUAGACCUGAGUUGCCCAAUUCAAGUCGACACAGUGCAAAAGGUGGUUAGACAGACCUAUUUUUAGCUUUGGCUAAAUCUUAUUUUAAAGGGAAAAGAAAGUGGAUCGACCCGGGAAGGAUAAGGGUACAAUCUGGUUGACCCUCCCAGGGAAGGAGUAUCAUCUUCUUUAGGCUGAGGCCACGGAACCGGGGACCCGAAGACAUGGAUUAGAGACCCAUUUAUUACCGACGCAAACUUUGCUAUGGGGCGGCUGCUAGGGGACUACGAGCGUGUGCUUAAAACUCAAAGAACUUGGCGGCUCGUUAACUACUCAGGGGAAUAUGCGCCUUAAUCCGAUGAUCCGCGUUACAUCUUACCUUACCUUGAAAAAGUACAGCUGGUGUAUUGCCGUUGUCAGCCUGUUGUUCGAGCAAAGCGAAACAGGCCCAAAGGAACUAGUCGAUGUCUAUUCGACAGAUGCCGUAAAUUCAGGUCGAAAUACUGCCUAUGGUACAGGGGAGUGGGUAUUACAAUUUGGAAUUAGAAUCACGGAGCUUGAAAAGAGGUGAAACCUCAGGUGAAGGUGAACUUGAGAGUAAGGGGAGAUUAAUAUGCUUCCCUGAACAUGUGCCUAACUUGUGUACAAACCGCCCGUCGCUCUCGGCGGAAGCUGAGAUAAGUCGUAACAAGGUAGGGGUACUGGAAGGUGCGCCCUGAAUAUU
Molecule: ribosomal RNA, 964 nt
Filed under: Mimachlamys varia
Lineage: Eukaryota; Metazoa; Mollusca; Bivalvia; Pectinida; Pectinidae
Description: small subunit ribosomal RNA
Rfam family: Bacterial small subunit ribosomal RNA (bases 136-964)
Source: RNAcentral